UAAAACGGCUCAGCGAAUAAGGGGAGGGCAAGUCUGGUGUCAGCCGCCGCGGUAAUACCAGCUCCUCGAGUGGUCGGGGUGAUUAUUGGGCCUAAAGCAUCCGUAGCCUGUUCUGUAGGUCCUCUGUUAAAUCCAACGGCUUAACCGUUGGCCCGCAGAGGAUACCGCAGGACUAUGAGGCGGGAGAGGUGGACGGUACUCCACGUGUAGGGGUAAAAUCCUUUGAUCCGUGGAAGACCACCAGUGGCGAAAGCGGUCCUCCAGAACGCGCUCGACGGGGAGGGAU
Molecule: ribosomal RNA, 286 nt
Filed under: uncultured crenarchaeote
Lineage: Archaea; Thermoproteati; Thermoproteota
Description: partial 16S ribosomal RNA
Rfam family: Archaeal small subunit ribosomal RNA
Source: RNAcentral